GACGCUGAGGAGCGAAAGGGUGGGGAGCAAACAGGCUUAGAUACCCUGGUAGUCCACCCCGUAAACGUUGGGAACUAGUUGUGGGGUCCCUUCCACGGAUUCCGUGACGCAGCUAACGCAUUAAGUUCCCCGCCUGGGGAGUACGGCCGCAAGGCUAAAACUCAAAGGAAUUGACGGGGACCCGCACAAGCGGCGGAGCAUGCGGAUUAAUUCGAUGCAACGCGAAGAACCUUACCAAGGCUUGACAUACACGAGAACGGGCCAGAAAUGGUCAACUCCUUGGACACUCGUGAACAGGUGGUGCAUGGUUGUCGUCAACUCGUGUCGUGAGAUGUUGGGUUAAGUCCCGCAACGAGCGCAACCCUCGUUCUAUGUUGCCAGCACGUAAUGGUGGGAACUCAUGGGAUACUGCCGGGGUCAACUCGGAGGAAGGUGGGGAUGACGUCAAAUCAUCAUGCCCCUUAUGUCUUGGGCUUCACGCAUGCUACAAUGGCCGGUACAAAGGGCUGCAAUACCGUGAGGUGGAGCGAAUCCCAAAAAGCCGGUCCCAGUUCGGAUUGAGGUCUGCAACUCGACCUCAUGAAGUCGGAGUCGCUAGUAAUCGCAGAUCAGCAUUGCUGCGGUGAAUACGUUCCCGGGCCUUGUACACACCGCCCGUCA
This 660-nucleotide ribosomal RNA is filed under the name uncultured Alphaproteobacteria bacterium. Its description in RNAcentral is "bacterial SSU rRNA". It matches the Rfam family "Bacterial small subunit ribosomal RNA", at positions 742 to 1399 of the family's 1533-position model. The record is from RNAcentral. Lineage: Bacteria; Pseudomonadati; Pseudomonadota; Alphaproteobacteria.